This 332-nucleotide ribosomal RNA is filed under the name uncultured bacterium. Its description in RNAcentral is "bacterial SSU rRNA". It matches the Rfam family "Bacterial small subunit ribosomal RNA", at positions 568 to 898 of the family's 1533-position model. The record is from RNAcentral.
CGCGUAGGUGGUGCGGUAAGUCACCUGUGAAACCUCCGGGCUCAACUCGGAGCCUGCAGGCGAAACUGCCGUGCUGGAGUGUGGGAGGGGUGCGUGGAAUUCCCGGUGUAGCAGUGAAAUGCGUAGAGAUCGGGAGGAACACCUGUGGCGAAAGCGGCGCACUGGACCACAACUGACGCUGAGGCGCGAAAGCUAGGGGAGCAAACAGGAUUAGAUACCCUGGUAGUCCUAGCCCUAAACGAUGGAUGCUUGGUGUAGCCGGUACCCAAUCCGGCUGUGCCGUAGCUAACGCGAUAAGCAUCCCGCCUGGGGAGUACGGUCGCAAGGCUGAA